UCCUUCCCUUCCCUCCCUCCCUCCCCUUUCGGCUGGAUCGGUGCGCCGGGGCGCCCUAUCCCCUCCGCAGCUGGGACGCGCCGAACUCGAGGCAGGAGUAGGCUCUCUGGAGCCUGGUCCCUCCCUUCCCCUUCCCUGUCCCCUUCCCCCACCCCCGACGCGGGCUUGGCGCGGCGACCAGAGGAAACCCGAGGUGAGCAUCCCUCGUCCGUCCUCCUUUAGUCGUUCCAGCUUGC
RNAcentral lists this long non-coding RNA (236 nucleotides) under Marmota monax (woodchuck). The record is from RNAcentral. Lineage: Eukaryota; Metazoa; Chordata; Mammalia; Rodentia; Sciuridae.